This 17365-nucleotide long non-coding RNA is filed under the name Triticum aestivum (bread wheat). RNAcentral describes it as "long non-coding RNA (TAES_LNC028382)". Lineage: Eukaryota; Viridiplantae; Streptophyta; Magnoliopsida; Poales; Poaceae. The record is from RNAcentral.
AAAGAACUUAUUUGUCUUUUAUUCCCAUGUUUGAACUAGUAUAGGUCGGGGUUACACAUGAUGGUCACAUCACUUUAUUUAUCAUUAUUACAUUAAAUGCUCCAUUGACUAACAAUGAUGAUUCACCCGUCUAGUAUUACAUCUCUUCAUUUCAUCGUCCACUGAUACUGAUAACAUCGCUCCGAGUUGGUUGUUGGUGUGGGGAAGGUUGUUAUGAUUGUUGGGGGAAUGGUUGCUGCUGUGGGUAUGGUAUGGGAAAUUGUUGUUCGGGAAAUUGUUGUUUGCUUUGCUAGGGAAAUUGGUGUUGUUGUGGAAAUUGUUGUUGCGGUAAUUAUAUGUUCUUCCAUGAUCUUCAAAAUAAAAGACCUCGCUCUUACCGUCUCUGCAUGUCUGUCAUCAAACAUCCAUAAACUCGUUAAAAUUAAGUGAAAGGGUUCAACUUUUGGAGUAUAGUUCCUGUCGCCUUGAAGAGAAUUUCACGCGUCGUGUCACUCUACGAAUUCCACUUCGUCUUAUCACUUCAGAGAACACAACAAAGUUGGUUCCAGAAAAAAAAAUCCAUGUGUAAAGCUUUACUAAUUAUCUUGUACAAAGUUCACAUACUUAGCUCUACACAAACUGUAGAAAGUUCCAACCCUCUGCCGCAAAAAAGAAUGAAACCUUGAUAAGGAUUUGACAUGUAAAGUGAAAAAGGUGAGUCAGUUUUUUCUAAAAAUAAAAUACCAAGCACCAUGCUUUCGUGACAAACAUACGAUCUUUUGCACAACUAGCCAAACAAAUUUUGAUGAUCAAUCCUAUAUUAAACUUGUGGCUAGUGCAACCUGACAGAAUAUACAAAAUGAUCCAUUUCAGAAGCAUGCAUGCAAAAAAAUUGGAAAACGAAUGAAAAAAUUAAUCGCUAGCUGGAAUUUAAUUCAAUCAUCCCAUCCAAGCUAGUACAACCACAUUGACUUCAAUCCGACAUCUACAUAACAAGAUGUCCACAACCCAACAUGUCCAAAACAAAAAGAUAAAAAAAUGCAAAGACGGCAAGAGGUUAUGCCAUAAAUGGACUUGUGCCGAAAGAUCAUCACAAGUACAAAACACAAAUAGAAACAUCAAAGACAGGUAGUAGCAGUCAAGAGCAAUUCACCAUAAAGACACAUCCCCAUCCUUUCCCUCACCACCAUUGCAUCGGCCAGCGCCAAUGAACAGCUCGAAGGCAGCAGGAUCAAUGAUAGUGAAAGCGUUUCAUCGACUUCAUCUUGCUAAGAAAGUUCUUGCAAGGAAUGGCCAUGAAAGAAAGUGUUUAGUUAGUUCAAAUACGGAUAUCCUUAGAGCAUCCUAAUGAAUGAGAAAACCUGUGUCGGUCAUUCGUCAACAAAAUCCAUGUCAACGCGCUUGGAUGGAUCAUGCAUUCAGGAACAAAAUUCCAAGGGGGCGACCUAUAUAUACAGUUUAUUUGGUUGGUAACUCUGGUUUAGCACAAUCUUUUUUCCUUAUCCUUGUCCAUUUUAUCCCUGCAGAAAAGAGCCAAAUGAGGAAGCAAAGGGAAGUGUUUGAUUAGUUCUCCAUGAAACGAGAAUAAAUGAAUUUCGGACAAAGUAUGGCUGAACUGUGAAAUCCAUAGAUCGGCCUAACUGAAUUGGGAAACUUGUCUCCAUCAUGCAGCUGACAAAAGCCAUACUACUGAUACACUUGGCCCAUGCAACUUGCAUGCAUGAUUAUAAGGAGAACAUCCAUUAUUCUCUAAUUUAAAUGAGUAACCAUCUCGAAGUAAACAAGAUCCAGAUAUAAUGUUCAUGCUCGACGCAGGCACUAAAUAACAAUUAUUCAGGUUCAUCACUAAUCCCGAUGGUAAUCGAAGAGCGAGCGUGCCGACGAUGAUAACAUCAACCUUGGAACCAUUUCCCACACGCAUCGUCACUUCGUUCUUCACCAGCCUCCGUCUAUUUCGUAGUUCCUACUUUGGGUUGCAAAUGUGAGCAACCGAACCGGUAUCAAAUAACCAGGAACUACAACAAGAGUUGGUACGGAAAACAUCAAUAACAUAUAUAUAUAUAUAUAUAUAUCAUAUAUAUCUUGUUUGAUGUUGGCCCCUUCUUGUCGGCCAGGCUUGGGGAAAUUCUGCUUCAAGUGGCCAGUCCCGUUGCAAUAGAAGCACUCAGUUUCCGGCUUGGGCCCAGCCUUGGGUUUCUUCAUGGGAGGGACAACUACUUUGCCACUAUUCUUGGAGUUACCAUUCUUGCCCUAGCCAUUCUUAUUGAAACUAGUGGUUUUAUUGACCAUCAACACUUGAUGCUCUUUCUGGAUGUCUAACUCAGCGACUUCAAGCAUCGCAAACAGCUCGGAGACUGACUUGUUCAUCCCUUGCAUGUCAUAGUUUAGCACAAAGCUCUUGUAGCUAGGUGGUAGUGAUUGAAAAACUUUGUCAGUGAUCACUUCUGGUGAGAGCACAACUCUCAACUUAGCCAGACGGUUGUAAUACCCAGACAUUCUAAGUAUGUUCACUGACAUACCCGUUCUCGUCCAUCUUGUAAGCAAAGAAUUAUCGGAGCUCUCAUACCUCUCGAGCCAGACAUUCCUUUCAAAAAUGAACAUCAACUCCUCGAACAUCUCAUAUGCUCCAUGGCGUUCAAGAUGUCUUUUAAGUCCCAGUUCUAAGCCAUGCAACAUAGCACACUAAACUACUGAGUAGUGAUUCACAUGCACUUGCCAGGUGUUCAUAACAUCCACGGACGCCGGAGGGGCUUGCACACCAAGCGAUGCAUGAAGGACAUAAGCCUUUUGUGCAGCCGUGAGGAUAAUUCUCAGAUUACAGGCCUAGUCUACAAAGUUACUUCCAUCAUCUUUCAGCUUGGCUUUCUCUAGGAACGCAUUGAAAUUAAGGGAAGCUAUUGUGCGAGCCAUUGAUCUACAACAUAAAUUUGCAAAGUCAACUUAGACUAUUGUUCAUGAUAAAUGAGUUCAAAUAAUCAUACUACUUAAAACUCCCACUCAAAUUGACAUCCCUCCGGUCAUCCGAGUGUAUCAUGAUGAAAAUUCGCCAACCCAAGCCCGAUCAUAAUGUGAGAUGAGGUGGUUUCAAUGGUGAACAUAUCCAUGUUGAUCAUAUCUACUAUAUGGCUCAUGUUCGACCUUUCGGUCUAUUGUGUUCCGAGGCCGUGUCUGUACAUGCUAGGCUCGUCAAGUUUAACCCGAGUGUUUCGCACGUGCAACACUGGCUUGCACCCGUUGUAUGUGAAUGUAAAGUCUAUCACACCCGAUCAUCACGUGGUGCUUAGAAAUGACAAACUUCCGCAAUGGUGCACACUCGGGGAGAACACAAUUUUAUCUUGAAAUUUUAGUGAGGGAUAACUUAUAAUGCUACCAUCAUCCUAAGAAAAAUAAGAUGCAUAAAAGGAUUAACAUCACAUGCAAAUCAUAAGUGACAUGAUACGACCACCAACUUGUGCUUUUGAUCUCCAUCUCCAAUGCACCGGCAUGAUCUCCAUCGUCACCGGCACCACACCAUGAUUUCCAUCAUCAUGAUUUCCAUCAUCGUGUUGCCAUCGAGGUUGUCAAGCCAAUCGUGCUUCUACUACUAUUGCUAUCGUUUAGUGAUAAAGUAAAGCAUUACAUAGCGCUUAAUGAUUGACACGUAGGUCAUACAAUAAUUCAAGACAACCCUAUGGCUCCUGCCGGUUGUCAUAUUCAUCGACAUGCAAGUCAACACAAACUAUUACAAACAUGAGCAUCUCAUACGUCAAAAUAUAUUUCAACAUGUCUUGGGCCAUAUCACAUCACAACAUACCCUGCAAAAACAAGUUAGACGUCGUCUAAUUUGUUGUUGCAUGUUUGGCUGCUGUGUGUAUCUAAUAGGAACGGUUAUUACCUAUGCAAAACCACAACGGUGAUAUGGAAGUUGCUAUUUAACCUUCUACAAGGACUUCCUUCAUCAAAUUCGAUUCAACUAAGGUGCGAGAGACAGACACCAGCCAACCAUCUUAUGCAACAAAGUCACAUGUCUGUCAAAUGAACCGGUCUCAUGUACGUGGACAUGUAAAGUUGGUCCGGGCCGCUUCAUCCCACAAUUACGCUAAAUCAUGAAAAGAUCAAGGAAGGAAGCAAUCUGAAUAUGAACACCAAUAAACUCCUUUUUGUUCUACUCGUGAUGUCAUUUGUGCAUAGCCCUAGCUCUGGUACCACUAUUGUUGAAAGUUGCAUGGGAAACAAAAAAAUUCCUACACUCACCAAGAUCAAUCUAGGAGAUGAACAUCUACGAGAGGAGAGAUUGCAUCUACAUACCCUUGUUAAUCAUUAAGAGGAAUUGCUAAGAAACAUGGUUGAUGUAGUCAAACGUCUUCGCGAUCCAAUCAUGAUCCGUCCCGCAAACUCCUGAUCUAGUGCCAAACGGACGUCACCUAUGUGUUCAACACACGCACGGCUUGAUGAUGCCUUCACCUCCUUGAUCCAGCAAGAAAUGGAGAAGUAGUAGUUCGAGUCCUCCAACAACAUGACAGCGUGGAGGCGGUGGUGGAGGAAUUUGACCAAAGCUUCGCUAAGCACUACGUGGAAGGAGAAGGACUACGAGGGAGAGGACAUGCAGCGACACGACACAGAUGGGUCUGUCUGCCCUCCCUCUACUCCUAUAUAUAUAGGGGGAAGGGAGGAGGUGGGGAUGCCCUAUGGGUUCCCUUAGGGGGCGGCGGCCACCAUAGAUGGUGGCGCCCCUAGGGAAACCCUAGGGUGGCUUGCCCCCCAAGCUAGGUGGAGGCACCCCUAGGGGGUUGCCCCAACCCUUCUGUCAUGGCCGGUGUGCUCCCUGCCCUUGUCCCAUGAAGCGCCCCAACACUUACCGGGGCCCCCCGAAACCCCUUUCCGUACUCCGUCGAUUCCCCCGGUACCCCUGGAACAAUUCCGGACUCCGAUACCCUCCGUCCUAUAUAUUAAUCUUCACCUCCAGACCAUUCUGGAGUUCCUCGUCAUGUCGGGGAUCUCAUCCGGGAAUCCGAACAACCUUCGGUAACCACCAUAAUGACCCAACUAUACUUAUAUCGUCACCAAACGUUUAGUGUGUAGACCCUGCGGGUUCGAGAGCUAUGCAGACAUGACCGAGAGACCUCUACGGUCAAUGACCAAUAGCAUGACCUGGAUGCCCAUAUUGGUUCCUACAUAUUCUACGAAGAUCUUUAUCAGUCGAACCUCGAUGUCAAGGUUUCAGUCAAUCCGGUAUGAAGUUCCCUUUGUCCAUCGGUAUGUUACUUGCCUGAGAUCCGAUCAUCGGUAUCUCCAUACCUAGUUCAAUCUCGUUACCGGCAAGUCUCUCUAUUUCAUAAUACAAGACCCCGUGGCUAACUUCUUAGUCACAUUGCUUGCAAGCUUAUUGUGAUGUUGUAUUACCGAGUGGGCCCUGAGAUACCUCUCCAUCAUACGGAGUGACAAAUCCCAGUCUCGAUCCAUGCCUACUCAACAGACACCCUUGGAGACACCUGUAGAGCAUCUUUAUAGUCACUCAGUUACGUUGCAAUGUUUGAUACACACAAGGCACUCGUCCGGUGUCAGUGAGUUGCAUGAUCUCAUGGUCAUAGGAACAGAUAAUUGACAUGCAGAAAACGAUAGCAAUAAACUUGACAAGAUCAUAUGCUACAUUCAUAGUUUGGGUCUUGUCAAUCACAUCAUUCUCCUAAUGAUUUGAUCACAUUAUCAAAUGACAACUCAUGUCCAUGACCCGGAAACCAUGGCCAUCUUUGAUCAACGAGCUAGUCUGGUAGAGGCUCACUAUGUCACACGUUGUUUGUCUAUGUACCCACACAUAUAUUUGAGUUUCCAAUCAAUAAAAUUAUAGCAUGGAUAAUAAACGAUUAUAAUGAACUAGGAAAUAUAAUAAUAACCAUUUUAUUAUUGCCUCCAGGGCGUAUUUCCGACACUUCCGAUGAUUUGUGAGUAGUUUAUGACAGCCCUUCGGGUCUAUAGCUAGAAUCUAGAUGGCUUCUGCUCUCUCUUUGAACUUCAAUCCAAAGUUCUUCUCAAUGUUCUUGGAAUUCUAUCCAAUGUAAUCUUCUUUUGCGGUGUGUUUGCUGGGAUCUGAUAAAUUAUGAGUUUAUUAUCAGAUGAUUCAUGAGAAUAUUUGAGUCUUCUCUGAACUCUUUUAUGCGUGAUUAUUUUAUCUUUGUAUUUCUCUCCAAUCUAUCGAUUUGGUUUGGCCAACUAGAUUGGUUUAUCUUGCAGUGGGAGUGGUGCUUUUGUGAUGGGUUCAAUCCUGUGUUGCUCAAUCAUAGUGACAGAAAUGGACAUGGCACAUAUUUUUAUUGUUGACAUUAAGGAUAAAAAGAUGGGGGUUAAUCAUAUUGCUUGAAUUUACUUUGUCUACAUCAUAUCAUCUUGCUUAAGGUGUAACUCUAUUUUAUACCUAAAACUCUAGAUGCAUGCUGGAUAGCGGUCGAUGGGUGAAGUAUAGUAAUAGAUGCAGGCAGGAGUCGGUCUACUUGCAUCGAAUGUGAUGCCUAUAUACAUGAUCAUUGCCAUGAAUCCAUCAUAAUUAUUUGAUUUUCUAUCAAUUUCCCAUCAACAAUUUGUUUACCCACUAUAUGUUCUGCCAUCAAGAGAGAAGCAUCUAGUAAAAACUAUGGCCCCUGGGUGUACUUUUAUCAUAUAUAAAAACACAAAAAUACCUAGCUGCAAUUUAUUUACUUUUAUUUUAUUUUGUAUUUUACUUUAUCCAUCUAUCACUACCAGAAUUAAUCAUUGCAAAUAACCUCUACGAGGAUUGACAAGCCUCUUAUUUGCGUUAGGUGUCAGUGUUUGCUUUUGUGUGUGCAGGUGCUGUUAACAAGUUUUUGUGUGGUUCACCUACUGGAUUGAUAACCUUGAGUCUUAACUUAGUGAAAUACUUAUUUGUACUAUACUGCAUCAUCCUCUCCUCCUCGGGGAAUUAACAACACAGUCUACAAGUAGCACUCUCCAUUGAAAUGUUAAAUUGUAAUUAGUCCUUACUCCCAAAUUAAUAAUACUUCAAUUUGAAACAAGUUUCGGACAUGUUAAUUAUGUUAUGUUCAUAUAAUACUACACUUCAUAAAUAAGUAGACGUCGCAUAACAUUGAGAUUGUAGUUAGGUAUGGAAAUCAAAAUAUGGCAUGAAUGUAACAAUUGCCAGCAAUGUGCUUCAGAAAAGAACUUAUUUGUCUUUUAUUCCCAUGUUUGGACUAGUACGGGUCGGUGUUACACAUGAUGGUGCACAUCACUUUAUUUAUCAUCGUUAACAUUAUGCUCCAUUGACUAAGAACCAUGAUUCACCCGUCUAGUAUUACAUCUCUUCAUUUCAUAGGCCAUUGAUACUUAUAACGUCGCUCCCAAAUGGUUGUUGUUGUGGAUAUUGGUUGUAUGGGGAAGGUUCUUGUGAUUGCUGGCGUGGGUAUGGUAUUGGAAAUUGUUGUUGGGGGAAUUGUUGUGGUUGUUGCUGUGGGAAUUGUUGUUGGGGGAAUUGUUGUUGUUCAGGGGAUUGUUGUGGCUGGGGGAAUUAUUGUUGUGGUAAUUGUUGUUGUUGGGGGAACUCUUGUUGUUGGAGGAAUUGCUGUUGGGGGAAUUGUUGCUGGGGAAAUUGUUGUUGCGGUAAUUGUUGUUGGGGGAACUGUUGUUGCGGGAAUUACUGUUGGGGGAAUUGNNNNNNNNNNNNNNNNNNNNNNNNNNNNNNNNNNNNNNNNNNNNNNNNNNNNNNNNNNNNNNNNNNNNNNNNNNNNNNNNNNNNNNNNNNNNNNNNNNNNNNNNNNNNNNNNNNNNNNNNNNNNNNNNNNNNNNNNNNNNNNNNNNNNNNNNNNNNNNNNNNNNNNNNNNNNNNNNNNNNNNNNNNNNNNNNNNNNNNNNNNNNNNNNNNNNNNNNNNNNNNNNNNNNNNNNNNNNNNNNNNNNNNNNNNNNNNNNNNNNNNNNNNNNNNNNNNNNNNNNNNNNNNNNNNNNNNNNNNNNNNNNNNNNNNNNNNNNNNNNNNNNNNNNNNNNNNNNNNNNNNNNNNNNNNNNNNNNNNNNNNNNNNNNNNNNNNNNNNNNNNNNNNNNNNNNNNNNNNNNNNNNNNNNNNNNNNNNNNNNNNNNNNNNNNNNNNNNNNNNNNNNNNNNNNNNNNNNNNNNNNNNNNNNNNNNNNNNNNNNNNNNNNNNNNNNNNNNNNNNNNNNNNNNNNNNNNNNNNNNNNNNNNNNNNNNNNNNNNNNNNNNNNNNNNNNNNNNNNNNNNNNNNNNNNNNGGUGGGGGGAUUUUUGUGGUUGCUGGGGGAUUUGAUGAUGUUGGGGGAUUUUUUGUUGGGGGAUUAGUUGUUGGGGGAAUUGUUGUUGUUGGGGGAAUUGUUGUGGUUUCUGGUGGAUUUGAUGUUGUUGGGGGAUUUGUUGUUGGGGGAAUUGUUGUGGUUGGGGGAAUUGUUGUUGUUGAGGGAAUUGUUCUUGUGGAGUAUGCAAUUCCUUGCCUCUAGGGCUUAGCUGCCUACUGGCACUAGCGAUGUUCAUCACCAUGGCAAGGAGGACAAAUAUGAUGAAGGUCUUCAUGUUUGAUUUGUGUUUACUAUUGCUCACUUCGCUUUGGUGUUUCAGCUCUAGGUGCUUGAUGGUUAGAUGAUGGAAGAGACCCUCAUGGUAUAGUCGUAUUUAUAGCUGGCAUCGCACAUUUGUUUUUGAUCUUCACACUCGCUUCUUGAAAAAGUGCUCUUAAGCUUACUGACCUAAUAAUUUGCUAUGUUGUGUUUGAUGGCACUACUGUCACGACCGGUUUUCCAAUAAAACAUUUAUUGAGAAACUGACCCUUUUACCAGACCGGUAUAGGAAAAUCUUCCUUACCAGUAGACAAAAUGUUCAGUAGUACUAAAUGUUAUACAAGGUUGAGCUGAGGCUGCUCAACAAUUUUAUUACAAGCGCGCCGAUAUUAUACAUAAGGGCGGAUAUGGCACACGGUGUAUGGUGGCAUACUACUGACUCGCAAUAAAAGUGGUGGUGGAUAUCUCACAGUGAAGUGGAUGACAUGACUCCUAAUCUUACAGCUCAUCGGGCGUCGAAGUGAGGCUCGAUGGUUUAUUUGGGUACCGGAAGCGUAUAUGAUACAAGCGACCAAUUCCAGGAUCGCACGGGACUGACUGGGACUCCUCUAGGCGUCGGACUCGCUAUCGUACUCUUCAUCCAUAAGAUCGCCUUCGUCGAUAUCUGGCCAAAUCAACAAGCCAAGUGAGUACAUUGAAUGUACUUGCAAGGCAAUUUGGACACAGAUAUAACAGAUGCAAACAUGAUGCACAUGAGCAGAUUAGUAAUGCACACUUAAAUAGAAUCUCAAUAAAAGUAACUGAAAACCAAUCGGGUGUCUGAAGCGACGCCUCGAAAGGUAAAAAUAAAUUAACAUGCCGCAGUCGGGCGUCUGAGCGACACAACAUAAAGGGCUUAUAUUGAAAUUUAAAUGACAGUGCGUGCCACAGUCAGACGUCUACGCGACAUCUCGGAAAGGGCUUUUAUUGAAAGUAAAUAACAGUGCGUGCCACAGUCGGACGUCUAUGCGACAUCUCGGAAAGGGCUUAUGAUGAAAAUAAAUAACAUGGAUGCCACAGUCGGAUGUCUGAGCGACAUCACAUAAAGGGCUUAUAACAAAAAUAAACAACAAGAAUGCCACAGUCGGACGUCUACGCGACGUCACAUAAAGGGCUUAUAACAAAGAUAACCAACAAGAAUGCCAGUGUCGGACGUCUACGCGAUGUCACAUAAAGGUCUAUAUUUCAUCAUCCAAACUCAAGUCGUUCAUGAAAUUAUGUCACUUCAAGAAAAUACUCAGUAAUAAUAAACAGGUUAGUCCAUCCAGAUGAAUAACAUUCAACCGGGCUUACCACUCAUGUCUGUUCACCGGAGAUUGUCACUGAAACUGACACUGAGACUGACAUAGAUAAGUUGAUUAUAGUCCUUGACCAUAGAUACGGUUACUUGAAUGAUUUUGACUCUGCAGAGUUUGUACUAUUUAACCACAGCCAACGGAUACCAGUAGUCACAACAGACUAGUUCCAUUUACGGUAUUUCAGAGGAAACUCAUCUAACCAGUACACAGCCAUUCCGCAUCCCGAUGCCAGGAAUCACCCUAGGCAACGUUCAAGAAAAACUUUGAGACGGGGAGGCCACAACCUCGAGUAGCAUGGGAUCAAAUUUAUAUCGCGCGCUCUAAGGGGUGCCCCCCUCUCGGUCCCAACCGGAAACACCCAUGCCCCCUGAUCGGAUGACUGGCUUUAAUCCAGGGCCAUGGAACCCUCAUCACGGCCCCUCUAUUUGGUGUGUACGAGGAAAGAGGUUUGCAACCUACUAAACCAUAUUCUUUGCAGAAAACAUGUGGUAGCACACAAAAAAGGGGACGGACGGUAACGUGACUUGAUCCACGUUAACACUGGAGUCGAACGGUUUUGCAUAAGACUGGCAUGCUUCAACAAUACCAUCUUACCACCUUUCAUGUCACCAAAUGAUUAGGUUAUCUCCCAUCAAAUAACACAUCGAGGUUCGAAGCUCACUUGUAGUUACUUUGCAUGCAAUAUAACACUUAUCGAUGCUUAUGUAAACAUGUCAUGAAAUAACUACUCAAGCAAACAUGCAAAGCACUCAUCAUAUCAAAGGUUCAAACAUGCUUGCCUGGUUCGGAGUAGUCGGAGUCUAGCUCGGUGAAGUUCGCGGUUCCGUCACCUCCGUCGGUAUCUACGAUAUAAAGAAAUCGCAUACUAACGUAAAUACCGUGUGUGCACAAAAAGCGUUUCAAAUAUUUUUCAAAUAAAUAUGAUAAAAAAUUAGACCGAAAAAUAAGGAUGACAGAAAAAGAAUCAAUUCAAAAUCACCUUUUGUUUAAAAGUUAUUAAGGUUUUUGUCCAGGGACUCAUCUGUAAUGAAACAGAAAGUUUCCACGGGGUAGUUUAUAAAAACAGAAAACGUUUCGACUAGAAACACGCCAACCCCAAAGGAAAACGUAUUUUGCCCGAAGGCGUUUCCAGAAAACAGUUCGAAAAAAAAGAGAAAAAGCUGACUAGGGGGUCCACCCGUCAGGUUUGAAUUUCAAACAGAGUCACCGGCGCCCGAGGGCUGCGGUGGUCGCCGGCGGCGAUCCACGGCGAGGUAGGGGGAAAGGAGGGUACCUACGGGUUCACUGGGUCCUUCCGCACCUGUGGGUGGGGGAGUUGGUCACCGGCGGGUGCCACGUCGACGGCGACCUCUACUCCGGCGGACGGUGGUUCGGGUGGUCAUGGGUCUCGUCGAGGAGGGCUGCAAAUUUCAAAUUGGAGCUUGGGUUAGCUGUGCAGGUGCACUAGGAGGCGACUGGCACGGUCUGGGAGGCGGGGGUGGUCUCACCCGAAGGAAUCGUGCUGGAUCCCGAGGCGGAUCGGGGUGGCCGGAGUCGGGGAAGAAGGCCUCCCCGCGGUCUUCCUAGUAGCUAGGCGUGGCUCUGGUGAGGUGUAGGAGUGGUGCUGGGUUGAAGGCGAGCUCGAGGCUCCCUUUUAUAGCCGAUCCGAGGCGGUGGCAGAGAACGGGAUAACUCAGGCGAUGAUUACGGCGAGGCAGAGGGUGGGCAGGUGGAUUAGGUGGCUAGGCGACUGCGGAUUGGUCCACUGGUUCCAUUCCCGGGCUAAGCUGCGCAAAACUUGGGCGCUACUCCACGCUCUCGACGGAACGGCCUCACGGGGCUCGGCGGCGGCAGAGAGCAUGCUCUGCGCUGCUCAGGCCACAGCGACGGUGCCGCAGCGUGCACAGGCAAGCGGACAGCCACGCGGAGGCUUCGGGUGGCUUGGGCGGUGCUGGACAGUGCCGAAAGGUGGUGCUGGUCCCUGCUGGCCGCCACGGGUGGCUCUGCACCGCAGAAGUUGCCGGCGAUGAGGUGGCACGUCGCCACUGACACCUGCACCCGUCCAAACGAUCAUGCAGCGCUCCGGAUAAGGAGAAGGAGCAGUGAGCAUCGUGCCAACGCGGGCACUGGCGAGAUUGACGCCGAGGCUCUGAAGAAAACGACGCUGUCGUCUGAACCCAACACUAAAUCUCUGAACUUUACUGAAUAUUGCCAGAAACAGUGCACGCCAGGUGUUUGAUGAAUUGUUUUUGCCAUGUGGAAAAGCUUUCUGGAGUUGAUCUUUGGUGAGGUGGCCUCUCAAUGCAUCAAGGGGUGGCCUGAUUUAUCUCAGAAUUUUUGGAGAAGGAAAAGCAUGAAUUUCACCAAAUUUGGCAAUUCUGGUUCAAACUUGCAGCAAGCAAAAUUUGAAAAUUUUGAAUUGUGGAAGAGUGGAUCUUGAUGGAUCUAGGUUGAGGGUGCUAAGGACUAGUCAGGGGAGUUUGUUUGGGACCAAAACACAAAAGGGUUCUGGUGGUUCCUUUCUAAAUCACCUAGGUCCAAAAUAAAUGACAGAAAUUGUUUUGAGGAUAAAAUAAAUAGAAUAAAAAUCAAAAAUGGGUUGCACCUGCUGGGAUUGGAUGUUUGACAUGACAAAAAGUGGAGGGAGGGGUUUUGGAGUAAAUUUUUCAACCUAGGUCAUGGCAAGAAAUUUUUUGAAUGAGGAAGGAUUAAUCCAUAAGUCAUUAAAAGAAAGUAUUUCAAAACCUUUCCCAAAAGAAAAUAUUUGUGUUGAGCCAACACAAUUUUGAAAAACCCUUAAGACUAAAGAUCAAGGUUUAGAAGGUCCUUUCAAAAGUUUGUCAUAAAAGAUUUUGAGAAGGAGAGUCCCUCAAAAAAAUAAUUCAAAUAACCUCCUUUAAAUCAAAUAAAGAUUUUAAUAAAAAUCCACAUCAAAAUUUUGGGGCGUUACAGCACCUACCCCCUUAGGAAAAAUCUCGUCCCUGAGAUUUCAGCUGGUCCUCAAAUAGGUGUGGGUGUCCUGUCUGAAGAAAAUCCUCUCUUUCCCACGUUGCUUCAUCCUCGGUGUGAUUGCUCCACUGAACUUUAAAAAACUUUAUUGUUUUCUGACGGGUCCUCCUUUCAGACUUCUCCAAUAUUCUUAUUGGACGUUCCUUGUAUGUGAGGUCUGGUUGCAUGUCAAUGUCCUCAUGAGAUACAUGCUUCUCUGGGUUGCUUACACAUUUCCUCAACUGUGAGAUGUGGAACACGUUGUGGACGUCUGACAGUUCUUCGGGUAGGUCUAGCUGGUAGUCUACUGUGCCUCUUCGCGCGACUACGCAGAAGGGUCCGAUAAAUCUUGGUGCUAGCUUUCCUUUAACUUUGAACCAUUGCAGGCCCCUCAUAGGGGAUACUCGUAGGUACACAUAUUCACCGGGUUCAAAGCUUACUCCCCGAUGUUUUCGAUCGUAAUAACACUUCUGUCAGCUUUGAGCUGUCUUGAGUCGGUCCCUGAUUAGCCUAACUUUCUCCUCAGCCUCCUUGAGCAUGUCUGGGCCGAAGAUACGACUGUCUCCUGUUUCUGACCAAUUUAAUGGGGUACGACAUCUCCGCCAGUACAAGGCUUCAAAAGGUGCCAUUUGUAGGCUGGCUUGGUAACUGUUGUUGUAGGCGAACUCGGCAUAUGGCAAGCUUUCCUCCCAACUGGUUCCAUAGGUGAGAACACAUGCUCUCAUCAUGUCCUCUAGAAUUUGGUUCACGCGUUCAGUUUGCCCAUCAGUCUGGGGGUGGUAUGCUGUACUGAAUGCCAGUUGAGUUCCCAGAGCUUGUUGUAAUUGAUCCCAAAAUCUAGAGACGAACUGAGUGCCUUGCUCGGAUAUUAUCGUCUUUCGAAUUCCAUGCACACAACUAUACGGGAGAGAUAAAGCUUGGCAAGCUUCUGAGUGGUGUGGGUUGUGUUUACUGGGAUGAAAUGUGCUACCUUAGUCAAUCUAUCUGUGAUGACCCAUAUGGCAUCAUUUCCGUAUCGUGACCGAGGUAGUCCGACAAUAAAAUCUAUUCCAAUUUUGUCCCAUUUCCACUCAGGUAUCUUGUUUGGCUGUAAUAGCCCUGUUGGUUUUUGGUGUUCGGCUUUAAUGCGCUGGCAUGAAUCACAACAUGAAAUGAAUGUGGCUAUAUCCCUUUUCAUACCAUGCCACCAAAAUUUUUCCUGAAUGUCCUUGUACAUAUUGGUCCCUCGAGGAUGGAUUGAAUAUGGAGCGGUGUGGCCUUCGGCUAAAAUUUGCUAUUUGAGGUCUUCUACAUUUGGUAUGCAAAGUCCGUCUCCGUACCAUAACAUUCCCUUAUCGUCUAUGACGAAUUCCGAGGCCUUGCCCAAACUCACUUUUCUUUUUAUGCCUUCGAUGCUGGGGUGUCCAUGCUGAGCCUCCUUAAUCUAUUCUAUUAGGGUGGGUUGUAUUUCCAACUUCGACACAUUGCCUUCAGUGACCAUUACCAAGUUGAGUUUAGCGAACUCGUGCUGAAAUUCAGGUCUCAAGUUUGGUAGACUGUCGUUGCCCGAGCUGGGGUUCUGACUAAGAGCAUCUGCCACUACAUUUGCUUUUCCCGGGUGGUAGUGGAUGCCAACAUCAUAAUCUUUUACUAAUUCCAACCAACACCGUUGUCACAAAUUGAGCUCUGGUUGUGUGAAAAUAUACUUCAGGCUUUUAUGGUCCGUAUACAUUUCACAACGAUCCCAAGCAAAAAGUGCCUCCACUCUUUGAGUGCAUGAAUGACUGCUGCCAACUAUAAGUCAUGAGUAGGAUAAUUUUCUUCAUGCUUCCGUAGUUGCCUGGAAGCGUAUGCGACUACUUUGCCUUCCUGCAUUAAUACGCACAAGAGGCCCUUCCGGGAUGCAUCACAAUACACUUCGAAACUUUUGUGUAUGUCUGGCACAAUCAAUACUGGUGUUGUUGUUAAUUUCCUUUUGAGUUCUUGGAAGCUUUUCUCGCAAGCUUCAGUCCACACAAAUUUCUUAUCCUUCUUGAGUAACUCUGUCAUUGGUUUUGCUAUGGUGGAGAACCCUUCAAUAAACCUUCGGUAAUAUCCUGCCAUUCCUAGGAAACUUCGUACAUCUAUUAUGCUGGCUGGUGGUUUCCAUCCAAGUACGACCUUGACUUUUUCUAGGUCUACGGCAACACCUUCUUGGGUCAAUACAUGGCCUAGGAAACCAACCUAUCUUAACCAAAAUUCACAUUUGCUAAACUUGGCGUAUAAUUGAUGUUUCCUUAAUUCUCCCAGUACAAUCCUGAGAUGUUCAGCAUGCUCUUCUGGUGUCUUGGAGUAUACCAGAAUAUCAUCGAUGAACACCACAACAAAUUUGUACAUAAAUUUCAUAAACACUUUGUUCAUGAGGUGGACAAAAUAUGUGGGGGCGUUCGUCAGUCCAAACGGCAUUACUGUAAACUCAUACAGUCCGUAUCUGGAGGUGAAUGCUGUCUUGGGGAUAUCUUCUGUCCGUACUUUUAAUUGAUUGUACCCCGACCUUAAAUCAAUUUUUGAGAAAACCUUAGCUUGCGCAAGCUGGUCAAAUAAAUCAUUUAUCCGAGGCAUCGGAUAUUUGUUUUUGAUGGUAACCAUGUUGAGUGGUCGAUAGUCGAUACAUAAUCUCAGUGUCCCGUCGUUCUUCUUGGCAAAUAAAACUGUUGAUCCCCAAGGUGAGGAGCUGGCUCGAAUAAAUCCUUUGUCCAGUAAUUCUUUUAUUUGCUUCUUUAAUUCUACCAGUUCAGAGGGUGCCAUUCUAUAGGGUUUCUUAUAAAUGGGGGUGGUUCCAGGUGCUAGUUCAAUGAUAAACUCUAUCUCUCAGUCUGGUGGCAUGCCUGGUAGUUCUUCAGGAAAUACGUCAGGGAACUCACAUACCACUGGGACUUUGCUUAACUCUGAAACGUCCACCUUGUUCAACCUUGGUUGCCGUGACCUCGGUCUUUCUUGAGCUGCAACUUUUAUCGUCUUCCUGUGAUGAUGGGCAAGAAUUACAGUCUGAUUGGAGAAGUCGAUAAACCCCUUGUUGGUGGUUAACCAGUCCAUUCCUAGGAUAACAUCCAGUCCCUUAUUUUCCAAUACAAUGAGGUUUGCCUGAAACUUUAAUCCUUCAAACUCAAUAACCACACCUUGGAAGUAACUCUGAUUGAUUUUCUUAAUCCCGGGGGACUUGAUGAUCAUGGAUUUUUCCAAGGAAAAGCAUUGAAAAAUCAUGUUGCAAAGCAAAUUUCUUUGAAAUGAAUGAGUGAGAAGCUCCAGAAUCAAACAAAACCGUGGCAGGUAUUGUGUUGACAGGGAACGUACCGAGUACGAUAUCUGGGGCAUUCUGUGCUUCCCCCUUGGUCACAUGGUUCAGGUGACCCUUCCUAUGUUGUUUAUUGGGGCUGAAGUUUUUUCUCUUGGGCGUUGAAUUAUUGCCACCGUUGUUCGACUUAGGGGCCGAGUUUCUUGGCUUUGGACACUGUUUGGCAUAGUGUCCUUCUUCUCCACAAUCGUAGCAAGUAACACCUGGGCGGUAUGUAAAAUCCUUGUCCCUUGCAUGAAAAUUUUUGUUUGGGCGUGGAACAUUGCCUAUAUACAUGAUCAUUUCCAUGAAUACGCCAUAUUUAUUUGCUUUUCUAUCAAUUUCCCAACAGCAAUUUGUUUACCCACCAUAUGUUCUGCGAUCAACAGAGAAGCAUCUAGUAAAAACUAUGGCCCCUGGGUAUACUUUUAUCAUAUAUAAAAACACAAAAAUACCUAGCUGCACUUUAUUUACUUUUAUUUUAUUUUGUAUUUUACUUUAUCCAUCUAUCACUAUCAGAAUUAAUCAUUGCAAAUAACCUCUACGAGGAUUGAAAAGCCUCUUAUUUUCGUUGGGUGUUAGUGUUUGCUUUUGUGUGUGCAGGUGCUGUUAACAGGGUUUUGUGUGGUUCACCUACUAGAUUGAUAACCUUGAUUCUUAACUUAGUGAAAUACUUAUUCGUACUAUACUCCAUCAUCCUCUCCUCCUCGGGGAAUUAACAACACAGUCUACAAGUAGCACUGUCCAUUGAAAUGUUAAAUUGUAAUUACUCCUUGCUCUCGAAUUAAUAGUACUUCAAUCUGAACCAAGUUUUGGACACGUUAUAAUUAUGUUAUGUUCAUAAUACUACACUUCAUAAAUAAGUAGACGUCGCAUAACAUUGAGAUUGUAGUUAGGGAUGGAAAUCGAAAUAUGGCAUGAAUGUAACAAUUGCCAGCAAUGUGCUUCAGAAAAGAACUUAUUUCUCUUUUAUUCCCAUGUUUGAACAUACAGGUCGGGGUUACACAUGAUGGUGCACAUCACUUUAUUUAUCAUCGUUACAUUAUGCUCCAUUGACUAACAACGAUGAUUCACCCGUCUAGUAUUACAUCUCUUCAUUUCAUCGGCCACUGAUACUUAUAACGUUGCUCCCAUAUGGUUGUUGUUGUGGAUAUUGUUGGUAUGGGGAAGGUUCUUGUGAUUGUUGGGGUGGGUAUGGUAUUGGAAAUUGUUGUUGGGGAAAUUGUUGUGAUGGUUGCUGGGGGAAUUGUUGUUGGGGGAAUUAUUGUUGUUCAGGGAUUUGUUGUUGCGGUAAUNN